GAUGAACGCUGGCGGCGUGCUUAACACAUGCAAGUCGAACGGAAAGGCUCCUGCUUGCAGGGGUACUCGAGUGGCGAACGGGUGAGUAACACGUGGGUGAUCUGCCCUGCACUUCGGGAUAAGCCUGGGAAACUGGGUCUAAUACCGGAUAGGACGAUGGUUUGGAUGCCAUUGUGGAAAGUUUUUCGGUGUGGGAUGAGCUCGCGGCCUAUCAGCUUGUUGGUGGGGUAAUGGCCUACCAAGGCGUCAACGGGUAGCCGGCCUGAGAGGGUGUACGGCCACAUUGGGACUGAGAUACGGCCCAGACUCCUACGGGAGGCAGCAGUGGGGAAUAUUGCACAAUGGGCGCAAGCCUGAUGCAGCGACGCCGCGUGGGGGAUGACGGCCUUCGGGUUGUAAACUCCUUUCGCUAGGGACGAAGCGCAAGUGACGGUACCUGGAGAAGAAGCACCGGCUAACUACGUG
This 465-nucleotide ribosomal RNA is filed under the name uncultured bacterium. Its description in RNAcentral is "partial 16S ribosomal RNA". It matches the Rfam family "Bacterial small subunit ribosomal RNA", at positions 28 to 507 of the family's 1533-position model. The record is from RNAcentral.